RNAcentral lists this ribosomal RNA (228 nucleotides) under uncultured bacterium. Its description in RNAcentral is "partial 16S ribosomal RNA". It matches the Rfam family "Bacterial small subunit ribosomal RNA", at positions 568 to 796 of the family's 1533-position model. The record is from RNAcentral.
UGCGUAGGCGGCCUGACAAGCCAGAGGUGAAAGGCUACGGCUUAACCGUAGUAAGCCUUUGAAACUGACAGGCUUGAGUGCAGGAGAGGAAAGUGGAAUUCCUAGUGUAGCGGUGAAAUGCGUAGAUAUUAGGAGGAACACCAGUGGCGAAGGCGACUUUCUGGACUGUAACUGACGCUGAGGCACGAAAGCGUGGGGAGCGAACAGGAUUAGAUACCCUGGUAGUCC